GGUUAAGCUAAGCUUGCUGACUUGGCUGCUUUUAGCAAUAAGCCAUAGUGGUUUCAAGCACUUUACCGGCUUGCCAAAGUCUCCCCGUACACAGGGAGGUGAUGAUUCAUUCCAUCCAUUAUUGAGUGCUUGUAGCAUAUUUUUAUCUAUGGUAGGUUUGUGCUGCUGCAGCCAUCACGAGGUGAUGCUUUUUCAUCUGGCAACAGUUAAGAAGAGAGCUUUGGGAUAUCUCUUGGAUUCUUGACCUUUUUGUACCAUUAGAAAACAUUCUGCAGAUCUAGCAGGAGCUGUCUCAAGGGUUGCAACUGUUUGUGCGAAAAUAGGAGAAACAGCAGAACUGAGGCCAACCUUACUCCCAGGUUCCUUGGCAAGAGAGAGUUUUCUGAUGAGGGGAGUGCAGAGCGUACGCCUUACCGAAGUAGGCGAACACCUCAGAUCUACUACUCUAUUAAAUUGGCUGGUGCUGCCUUGGAUUUUGUUUCCAGUCAUCCUUCUCUUUAGCUGAUGUGGCCACUCCUAGUUUGUCUUUGCUUUGAUAGAAAAAAACCAGCAAAUAUUCAGGUGACUCCCAUGUAUUCUGAAUAUCUGAAAGAACUUAUUCAAGUUAUGCUUGUGUUCUCUCGUGUGUUCCGACAAUCAGCUGAUCUCAUUGAUCACAAUGCUUUCGAGGUUCCCCAAAAUUUGGCUGGGUAAACACAGAUGUUCUACAUUUUCUAAUCGCUUGUAGUUCUUACUGGGCACCCCAAUUUUCCAAACAAUUUCUUAAAUCUAUUUCCUUAUUUCUUCCCCCUCCCACCUGCCAUUUCCCCCUCUCUAUUAUUUCUUGUGCACAAAUGUUUAAGUAACAAAUAUUUUAACUGGCAUGGACCAAAUCCUUACUCAGUCAAACUCAUACUUGAUGGAUCCUCUUGUUAUAGGGAGGCCCCUGAACUGAUCUCUGGCAGUGGAUGGGGGAAUCAUGAGUGGCUCUGGGGGAACUGCUGUUAAGGGUGCAUGUGUGGGUCUGUGUCUUCUCAUUUUUCUGACCACUUUGUGCCAGCUUUCUUCAGCUGAGCUGGCUCCCCUGCUUAUCUGCUAGUACAUCUUCUACUCCACAAUAGCAGUAGCCACUCAGGGGAAAUGGGUGGAAUAUAUGGGCAGAGGGAGGUGGACUAGGCCUCCUGUCCACCUUCAACAGCAGCCUCCUUCUUGGGUUAAAGAGGGAAGGGAAAGGAGAGGGGAACUUGGAUUAAGGGAGAGGGAGUGAGAAGGCACAAUAAGGGAAUGCACCUCAGAUAUGAGGAGGAAGCAGGAUGGAUCUCAGUUGGGAGAGAAAACUCAGUGGAGUGGCCACAGUGGGGAGCAAAGGAGGAAGUGGGUUUGUUGAGAGGAGGGUGAAGGAAAAGAGGAACGUGAGGGAGACUCCUUGGAAACUAGAGAAGAGCCAAAGGAGGUGAGGGGAAGAGAGGUCAAGGACAACAUAAUAUGAGGGAGAGCAAGGAUGAUUGUAAGCAACUUGAGAUAGCGACCGUGUCUUCCUUGUGCAGUGUCAAGCACACUGUCAGCGCUUAAUCAGUAAUGACAGGGGAAUCAAGGAUGAGGGGACCAAAGGAUGAAGGGAAAGGAGAGGCUGCUUUCAAGGAGAAGACCCAACAAGAGGAGCUGUAGGGAGAGGGAAUAAGAGAGAAAACAGAAUGUGAACAUGAAAAAAUACAUGAAAUGGAGAUGAUAGAAUAAAUCAGAGAUGGGAGGAGAGAAAAAACAGGUUAAAGAAAUGAAAGGUGGAAAAAAUCUAGGAAACAUUACUAAGCUUGAUUUAAUGUAUUUAUGCUUCUAUAUGUUACUGCAUUUCAUUCUCAGGGGGUCUCUGUCAGGGUAAGCUUAGAUGGGAACCACCAUUCUGAGCGCUUAUGAUAUUUAUAUUGGUGCCUAUGCUGAAUUCUAUCAUUAAGUAGCUGGAGAAAAAGUCAGGGAAAAAAGCUAAAUUGCACCAGAUUGUACUCCAAACAUGCUGGGGGCCUAGCAGCUAUUCAGACCACGGGCUUAUUGGGGAAUUGUGUCUGAAAAUCCUUUUCAAACGUUGGCAGCUGUAUGUGCUGCUUCCAGUGCCAGCAGAUGAAAUGCACUUCUCCUACCACAGAGGAGGCUGGGAGUAGCCUAAGGAGUCUCCCCUGUGUUAUUUAAAAAGAAUCUUUUAAUUUGGAGGGAUGCAAAAGGCUUGUGGGCUCCUGUGAUGGGGUGUACAAACCUCACACUAGGCAACAAGGGGUUAAGGGAUCAUUUUGGGCUCAGUCAGCUCUGCCCUGCCACACCUGCAGCAAAUGUUCCAUCUGCUGGAGGAAUUGAAAGGCAGGGAAUUAACUCCUUUGGGUGACAGAGUUGGAGGUGGGCAGACCUGCCCCCUACAAUUUGAGCGGAGCAGAGGGAAACCUAAAGGUUCUGACACCACUGCCUAAAAGGGGCUCUCCUUGAGGGAAAGGAGGCUCCACUACAGAGACAACCAGAGAGGGCAGUAUCCUGUGACCUUGGACAUUGGUAUCUUCCUCUUAUUUCUUUUGGUUUGGCUUUCCUCACCAGGCAAGGCCUUGGGCUAAGCUGACCCCAGCGGGGGAGACAAGAGGAAGAAGCCCAGGGAGGACAGUCUUAAUCGGUCUUGGUUGCCAGAUUACUGGUAGCCCAAAGAGCCCUGGGUCUGAGCCCAGUGGAGUGGGAGGGCCUGGGCUCCCCUCCUCACAACCCCCUUGGCAGUCCAGGGUUGUGGUGUGACCACUAGGCCACACUUCCCAAACAGACCCUGAGUGAGGACUGUUACAAAAGAAUCCCCUCAUAAUUCUGACACUGGUUGAGUGUAUCCCACUGUUCAGUUUUGUGUCCCCCUCUCAGCCUGGCCUACAAAGGAUAAGAGCCUACUCCUGCUCCCAUGAAUGGAGCUAGUCCUUUAGUUCACUCUGUAGCAGCUUAUGAACCACAGACUUGCAGAGCUCAGACCAAUCCCCAUGAUGACAGUUGUUACAGAGACUUAUAUCCUCUGCACUGGAGGGCCCAGGUUCAAAUGCUAGUGAUGACCAAGAAUACUGUCUUUACAUGGGCAUUUUGGUGCUCACCAGAGAUAGAAACAGAAAGAGAGAAGAAAAAUGCAGGUGUAAAAUGUAUGCUUCUGUCCUGCAAAGCUGGCUGCAUAUUAACAAAAUGCUUUGGUAAUAAAGGGGAAAGAAUUACUAAUUAAUCUCUCUCCUUUUUGUUUUCUCUGGAGGAGGCUUCUAUUUGUAUACCCUCAUUAGUGAGACUAGGUACAGGUGUAUACCAUCUGGAGCAUAUCUAAUUAAAUUAGGUGUAAGCAGUGUCAGGAUGAGCUCCACCCUGACAUCUGGUGGUGAGGUGUGGCAAGUUGUGGAAAAGAACUUCAGGGGCCGAUCUCAUUUGCAUAGGCACACCCACCCCACCUAGAAUGAGACCAUAGCUGCCCAAAUGGUCACUUUGGCUGCUGUGGGGUCCCCAGUGUCUCUGUUAUUGGGGCAGGAAGAAUAAAUUGUUAUUACCCUGAUUAUGGGAACUGUGCUUGGAACUGUACGUGGCCUUUUGUUAUGAUGGAGGGAUUCACCAUCAACUAAGUAGCACUCGCUAGGCAAGGGUCAUGGGUUCCAAAACUGCGUGAAUGGAGAGAGGCUGGGGACAAGUAUUAAUACUUGGUGGCAUGGGCCCCUUGGUGAGGGCCUUACAUGCUAAUUGCACUUCCUCCUCUCUCCACUGUGGAAUAUCAGAGCUAAUUUUGAUUUCAUUAGAAGUCUAGUUAUAGGCUGCUGAGCUCACUUUGGGCUGACAGUGCACCAGCACUGGGGCUUCCCUACUACAAGCUGAAUUCACCUAAGAGCUGAAAUCACUGAGUGUUGUGUUAAGUAGUGGGGGAGCCUGAAGAUAUAUUGUGGAGCAGUUUGCGGGACGGCUGGUGAAGCAGUUCGACGCGGAGCAGUGUGUGGAUGGCAGAAGCGGCUUGUGGGCCGUGGAGCUGAGCGAAGGAGUUCGUGGGGCGGCUGGCGGAGCAGAGCGCAGCUGAGUGAAGGAGUUCGUGGGGCGGCUGGCGGAGUGGAGCGGAGCGAAGGAGUUCGUGGGGCGGCUGGCGGAGCGGAGUGGAGCGAAGGAGUUUGUGGGGUGGCUGGCGGAGCGGAGUGCCGCUAUGGAGCUAUGGGGCAGUCAGCUUCAGAUCACGUAAGGUGCCUCUUACCCCCGUCCCAUUUCCACCCAGGUUGGGAGGUAAAGCUCCGCAGAUAAACUUUCGAACUCUGGGGCUGCCCUGACCAGGGACAGAGACUUUUGGGGCAUUGGACUUUUGGGACUUUGGGUGAUUUGGGGUUGCUGGACUCAAGAACCAAAGGGUAUGCCCCAAUUUGCCUGGGGUGGGUUCUUUUUUUUUUGCUCAUGGGUUGUGUUAUGAAUCCUGUUGGUGGUGUUUCCCCAACAUAAUGCCACAUUGUUUCUCUCUGUUAUUAAAAGGCUUUUGCUACACUCA
Long non-coding RNA from Caretta caretta (loggerhead turtle), 4486 nucleotides. RefSeq lists it as uncharacterized. Lineage: Eukaryota; Metazoa; Chordata; Testudines; Cheloniidae. The record is from RefSeq and is a predicted model, not a curated record.